UACGGAGGGUGCAAGCGUUAAUCGGAAUUACUGGGCGUAAAGCGUGCGCAGGCGGUGAUGUAAGACAGUUGUGAAAUCCCCGGGCUCAACCUGGGAACUGCAUCUGUGACUGCAUCGCUGGAGUGCGGCAGAGGGGGAUGGAAUUCCGCGUGUAGCAGUGAAAUGCGUAGAUAUGCGGAGGAACACCGAUGGCGAAGGCAAUCCCCUGGGCCUGCACUGACGCUCAUGCACGAAAGCGUGGGGAGCAAACAGG
Molecule: ribosomal RNA, 253 nt
Filed under: uncultured bacterium
Lineage: Bacteria
Description: partial 16S ribosomal RNA
Rfam family: Bacterial small subunit ribosomal RNA
Source: RNAcentral